CAAAAUCACUGGGGGAGAGAACAGGAGGAGGGGGGCCAUUGCAGGCAAUCUUCCAAGCUCCCCGGAGGUCCACUCACACAGGCAGCUGUCUUGUUUGUGAAACCAGGAAACAGAUUGGCUGCCACAGAAGGACAUUGUCUUCCAUCAGAUAAGCUUCUGCAUGGACCAGUGCCAGUACCGUAUCGGCCUGCCUUCUGCCUGAAGCCUAAAUCCCAGGGUCCCUGCAGAGAAAAGAAGCUCAGGUUCUACUACGACGAGAACACCAAGCGCUGCGAAGGCUUUAUAUAUGGAGGCUGCCUGGGG
This is a long non-coding RNA of Hippopotamus amphibius kiboko, 303 nucleotides long. RefSeq lists it as uncharacterized. NCBI's taxonomy places the organism in Eukaryota, Metazoa, Chordata, Mammalia, Artiodactyla, Hippopotamidae. The transcript has 3 exons. The record is from RefSeq and is a predicted model, not a curated record.